GUUAUAUGGUCAAGUGAAGAAGCGCAUACGGUGGAUGCCUUGGCAGUCAGAGGCGAUGAAAGACGUGGUAGCCUGCGAAAAGCUUCGGGGAGUCGGCAAACAGACUGUGAUCCGGAGAUAUCUGAAUGGGGGAACCCAGCCAUCAUAAGAUGGUUAUCUUGUACUGAAUACAUAGGUGCAAGAGGCGAACCAGGGGAACUGAAACAUCUAAGUACCCUGAGGAAAAGAAAUCAACCGAGAUUCCCUUAGUAGUGGCGAGCGAACGGGGACCAGCCCUUAAGUUGUAUUGAGAUUAGCGGAACGUUCUGGAAAGGACGGCCAUAGUGGGUGAUAGCCCUGUACGCGAAAAUCCCUUUGCAAUGAAAUCGAGUAGGACGGGGCACGAGAAACCUUGUCUGAAUAUGGGGGGACCAUCCUCCAAGGCUAAAUACUACUGACUGACCGAUAGUGAACCAGUACCGUGAGGGAAAGGCGAAAAGAACCGCGGAGAGCGGAGUGAAAUAGAUCCUGAAACCGUAUGCGUACAAGCAGUGGGAGCCCACUUUGUUGGGUGACUGCGUACCUUUUGUAUAAUGGGUCAGCGACUUAUUUUCAGUGGCGAGCUUAACCGAAUAGGGGAGGCGUAGCGAAAGCGAGUCUUAAUAGGGCGUCUAGUCGCUGGGAAUAGACCCGAAACCGGGCGAUCUAUCCAUGGGCAGGUUGAAGGUUGGGUAACACUAACUGGAGGACCGAACCGACUACCGUUGAAAAGUUAGCGGAUGACCUGUGGAUCGGAGUGAAAGGCUAAUCAAGCUCGGAGAUAGCUGGUUCUCCUCGAAAGCUAUUUAGGUAGCGCCUCAUGUAUCACUGUAGGGGGUAGAGCACUGUUUCGGCUAGGGGGUCAUCCCGACUUACCAAACCGAUGCAAACUCCGAAUACCUACAAGUGCCGAGCAUGGGAGACACACGGCGGGUGCUAACGUCCGUCGUGAAAAGGGAAACAACCCAGACCGUCAGCUAAGGUCCCAAAGUCAUGGUUAAGUGGGAAACGAUGUGGGAAGGCUUAGACAGCUAGGAGGUUGGCUUAGAAGCAGCCACCCUUUAAAGAAAGCGUAAUAGCUCACUAGUCGAGUCGGCCUGCGCGGAAGAUGUAACGGGGCUCAAACCAUGCACCGAAGCUACGGGUAUCAUCUUUUGAUGAUGCGGUAGAGGAGCGUUCUGUAAGCCUGUGAAGGUGAGUUGAGAAGCUUGCUGGAGGUAUCAGAAGUGCGAAUGCUGACAUGAGUAACGACAAUGGGUGUGAAAAACACCCACGCCGAAAGACCAAGGUUUCCUGCGCAACGUUAAUCGACGCAGGGUUAGUCGGUCCCUAAGGCGAGGCUGAAAAGCGUAGUCGAUGGAAAACAGGUUAAUAUUCCUGUACUUCUGGUUAUUGCGAUGGAGGGACGGAGAAGGCUAGGCCAGCCUGGCGUUGGUUGUCCAGGUUUAAGGUGGUAGGCUGAGAUCUUAGGUAAAUCCGGGAUCUUAAGGCCGAGAGCUGAUGACGAGUGUUCUUUAGAACACGAAGUGGUUGAUGCCAUGCUUCCAAGAAAAGCUUCUAAGCUUCAGGUAACCAGGAACCGUACCCCAAACCGACACAGGUGGUUGGGUAGAGAAUACCAAGGCGCUUGAGAGAACUCGGGUGAAGGAACUAGGCAAAAUGGCACCGUAACUUCGGGAGAAGGUGCGCCGGUGAGGGUGAAGCAUUUACUGCGUAAGCUCAUGCCGGUCGAAGAUACCAGGCCGCUGCGACUGUUUAUUAAAAACACAGCACUCUGCAAACACGAAAGUGGACGUAUAGGGUGUGACGCCUGCCCGGUGCCGGAAGGUUAAUUGAUGGGGUUAGCGCAAGCGAAGCUCUUGAUCGAAGCCCCGGUAAACGGCGGCCGUAACUAUAACGGUCCUAAGGUAGCGAAAUUCCUUGUCGGGUAAGUUCCGACCUGCACGAAUGGCGUAACGAUGGCGGCGCUGUCUCCACCCGAGACUCAGUGAAAUUGAAAUCGCUGUGAAGAUGCAGUGUAUCCGCGGCUAGACGGAAAGACCCCGUGAACCUUUACUAUAGCUUUGCACUGGACUUUGAAUUUGCUUGUGUAGGAUAGGUGGGAGGCUUUGAAGCGUGGACGCCAGUCUGCGUGGAGCCAACCUUGAAAUACCACCCUGGCAACUUUGAGGUUCUAACUCAGGUCCGUUAUCCGGAUCGAGGACAGUGUAUGGUGGGUAGUUUGACUGGGGCGGUCUCCUCCUAAAGAGUAACGGAGGAGUACGAAGGUGCGCUCAGACCGGUCGGAAAUCGGUCGUAGAGUAUAAAGGCAAAAGCGCGCUUGACUGCGAGACAGACACGUCGAGCAGGUACGAAAGUAGGUCUUAGUGAUCCGGUGGUUCUGUAUGGAAGGGCCAUCGCUCAACGGAUAAAAGGUACUCCGGGGAUAACAGGCUGAUACCGCCCAAGAGUUCAUAUCGACGGCGGUGUUUGGCACCUCGAUGUCGGCUCAUCACAUCCUGGGGCUGAAGCCGGUCCCAAGGGUAUGGCUGUUCGCCAUUUAAAGUGGUACGCGAGCUGGGUUUAGAACGUCGUGAGACAGUUCGGUCCCUAUCUGCCGUGGACGUUUGAGAUUUGAGAGGGGCUGCUCCUAGUACGAGAGGACCGGAGUGGACGAACCUCUGGUGUUCCGGUUGUCACGCCAGUGGCAUUGCCGGGUAGCUAUGUUCGGAAAAGAUAACCGCUGAAAGCAUCUAAGCGGGAAACUUGCCUCAAGAUGAGAUCUCACUGGAACCUUGAGUUCCCUAAAGGGCCGUCGAAGACUACGACGUUGAUAGGUUGGGUGUGUAAGCGCUGUGAGGCGUUGAGCUAACCAAUACUAAUUGCCCGUGAGGCUUGACCAUAUAACACCCAAGCAAUU
RNAcentral lists this ribosomal RNA (2917 nucleotides) under Pseudomonas syringae. RNAcentral describes it as "23S ribosomal RNA". It matches the Rfam family "Bacterial large subunit ribosomal RNA". The record is from RNAcentral. Lineage: Bacteria; Pseudomonadati; Pseudomonadota; Gammaproteobacteria; Pseudomonadales; Pseudomonadaceae.